AGAGUGAACGCUGGCGGCAGGCCUAAUACAUGCAAGUCGAACGGCAGCACGGCAGAGCUUGCUCUGUGGGUGGCGAGUGGCGGACGGGUGAGGAAUACAUGGGAAUCUGCCCAGUCGUGGGGGAUAACGUAGGGAAACUUACGCUAAUACCGCAUGCGCCCUUCGGGGGAAAGCC
RNAcentral lists this ribosomal RNA (175 nucleotides) under uncultured soil bacterium. Its description in RNAcentral is "partial 16S ribosomal RNA". It matches the Rfam family "Bacterial small subunit ribosomal RNA", at positions 26 to 208 of the family's 1533-position model. The record is from RNAcentral.